This 1076-nucleotide small RNA is filed under the name Pan troglodytes (chimpanzee). RNAcentral describes it as "retained intron". Lineage: Eukaryota; Metazoa; Chordata; Mammalia; Primates; Hominidae. The record is from RNAcentral.
CGCAGCUGCUGGAGGCUGCCGACUUCGCGGCUCGCAAGCACCGGCAGCAGCGGCGGAAGGACCCCGAAGGGACCCCCUACAUCAACCACCCCAUCGGUGGGCGCGUCGGCCGCGGAGCGCCGGCUGCGGCACCUGGGUGGUGGGGACUGGGAAGGAAACGUGGGGGGCGUGCACCUCAUUGAGCACCUGUUUUGUCCCAAGUUUAGUGCGAUAUACCGUUUAAGCCUCAUAACAAUUGGAACGGUAGGCAUGAUCGUUCCCUUUGUCGGUUGCCUCCCAGAGGGUAAGGUACUUGACCAAGGUCACCCAGCUAGUCAGAGUCCACAAGGGGCCACAUCUGGCUCUCCAAAACCCACAACACACCGCCUUGGGACUACCUCCGACCUGACUUCCUGCUUUGCCCCUCCCCGUCAGGUGUGGCACGGAUCCUGACCCACGAGGCGGGAAUCACUGACAUUGUGGUGUUACAGGUAACUUUCCCCCUUCUCCGCCAGGAGCCUGGGAUGGGGAUUAGGGGCCCCAUUCAGCAAUGGGCAACCCUUGGCUGACAUCUCAGGGCUGAGUGGGAACUUGUCCCCAGGCGGCCCUGCUCCAUGACACGGUGGAGGACACAGACACCACCCUGGAUGAGGUGGAGCUACACUUUGGGGCACAAGUGCGGCGCCUGGUGGAGGAGGUAACAGAUGACAAGACUCUGCCCAAGCUGGAGAGAAAGAGGCUGCAGGUGGAGCAAGCGCCCCACAGUAGCCCCGGGGCCAAACUGGUGAAGCUGGCAGACAAGCUGUACAAUCUGAGGGACCUGAAUCGCUGCACCCCAGAGGGAUGGUCAGAACAUCGAGUCCAGGAAUACUUCGAGUGGGCAGCGCAGGUGGUGAAGGGGCUUCAGGGAACAAACCGGCAACUGGAAGAGGCUCUAAAGCAUCUGUUCAAGGAGCGGGGGCUGACACUCUGAUCAGUGCUUGAAGCUAUCCAGAGGCACAACUCCAGCCUCGUUCAGGCCGGACAGGAUUCAUACGCCAUCUUUUCUGUGUCUCCUGAGCUCCCUCCAUCCUUCCCAGAUAUUAGAGGCCAAAAAA